GGGGCUGUAGCUCACUGCUAGAGUGCUUGCCUUAUAUGCACGAUAUUCUGGAUUCAAGUACCAGCACUGCCA
This 72-nucleotide transfer RNA is filed under the name Rattus norvegicus (Norway rat). It matches the Rfam family "tRNA". Rfam says of the family: Transfer RNA (tRNA) molecules are approximately 80 nucleotides in length. Their secondary structure includes four short double-helical elements and three loops (D, anti-codon, and T loops). The record is from Rfam by way of RNAcentral. Lineage: Eukaryota; Metazoa; Chordata; Mammalia; Rodentia; Muridae.